UGGGGAAUAUUGGACAAUGGGCGCAAGCCUGAUCCAGCCAUGCCGCGUGAGUGAUGAAGGCCUUAGGGUUGUAAUGCUCUUUUUGGCGGGGACGAUAAUGACGGUACCCGCAGAAUAAGCCCCGGCUAACUUCGUGCCAGCAGCCGCGGUAAUACGAAGGGGGCUAGCGUUGUUCGGAAUUACUGGGCGUAAAGCGCACGUAGGCGGAUCAGCAAGUCAGGGGUGAAAUCCUGGGGCUCAACCCCAGAACUGCCUUUGAUACUGGCUGUCUCGAGGUCGAGAGAGGUUGGUGGAAUUCCUAGUGUAGAGGUGAAAUUCGUAGAUAUUAGGAAGAACACCAGUGGCGAAGGCGGCCAACUGGCUCGAUACUGACGCUGAGGUGCGAAAGCGUGGGGAGCAAACAGGAUUAGAUACCCUCGUAGUCCCUGAGCGGGCUGGCAAGGCGCAU
This 448-nucleotide ribosomal RNA is filed under the name uncultured bacterium. Its description in RNAcentral is "bacterial SSU rRNA". It matches the Rfam family "Bacterial small subunit ribosomal RNA", at positions 355 to 825 of the family's 1533-position model. The record is from RNAcentral.